Molecule: non-coding RNA, 25 nt
Filed under: Mus musculus (house mouse)
Lineage: Eukaryota; Metazoa; Chordata; Mammalia; Rodentia; Muridae
Source: RNAcentral
UGACCAAGUUGCAUGUGUACACCAG